Molecule: transfer RNA, 65 nt
Filed under: Candidatus Scalindua sp.
Lineage: Bacteria; Pseudomonadati; Planctomycetota; Candidatus Brocadiia; Candidatus Brocadiales; Candidatus Scalinduaceae
Also listed under: 1 other name
Description: tRNA-Leu
Source: RNAcentral
UGCUUGCUGGUAAGGCGCUAGAGUGUCGGACUCAAGAUCGGAAGUUCGGGGGUUCGAUUCCCCCC